GACGAACGCUGGCGGCGUGCUUAACACAUGCAAGUCGAACGGAAAGGCCUCUUUCGGGGGGUACUCGAGUGGCGAACGGGUGAGUAACACGUGAGUAACCUGCCCUUGACUUCGGGAUAACUUCAGGAAACUGGGGCUAAUACCGGAUAGGAGCUCCUGCUGCAUGGUGGGGGUUGGAAAGUUUCGGCGGUUGGGGAUGGACUCGCGGCUUAUCAGCUUGUUGGUGGGGUAGUGGCUUACCAAGGCUUUGACGGGUAGCCGGCCUGAGAGGGUGACCGGCCACAUUGGGACUGAGAUACGGCCCAGACUCCUACGGGAGGCAGCAGUGGGGAAUAUUGCACAAUGGGUGGAAGCCUGAUGCAGCAACGCCGUGUGCGGGAUGACGGCCUUCGGGUUGUAAACCGCUUUCGCUCAUGACGAAGCUUUGUGUGACGGUAGUGGGUAAAGAAGCACCGGCUAACUACGUG
RNAcentral lists this ribosomal RNA (467 nucleotides) under uncultured bacterium. Its description in RNAcentral is "partial 16S ribosomal RNA". It matches the Rfam family "Bacterial small subunit ribosomal RNA", at positions 28 to 507 of the family's 1533-position model. The record is from RNAcentral.